GACGAACGCUGGCGGCGUGCUUAACACAUGCAAGUCGAACGGUGAAGGGACCGGUUUUUGCUGGUUCUGGACGAGUGGCGAACGGGUGAGUAACACGUGAGUAACCUGCCCCCUUCUUCUGGAUAACCGCAUGAAAGUGUGGCUAAUACGGGAUAUUCUGCGCCUGCUGCAUGGUGGGUGUGGGAAAGAUAUUGUUUCGGUGGGGGAUGGGCUCGCGGCCUAUCAGCUUGUUGGUGGGGUGAUGGCCUACCAAGGCGGUGACGGGUAGCCGGCCUGAGAGGGUGGACGGUCACACUGGGACUGAGACACGGCCCAGACUCCUACGGGAGGCAGCAGUGGGGAAUAUUGCACAAUGGGCGCAAGCCUGAUGCAGCGACGCCGCGUGAGGGAUGGAGGCCUUCGGGUUGUAAACCUCUUUCGCCAGUGAAGCAGGCCUGUCCCUUUUGUGGGUGGGUUGACGGUAGCUGGAUAAGAAGCGCCGGCUAACUACGUG
Molecule: ribosomal RNA, 493 nt
Filed under: uncultured bacterium
Lineage: Bacteria
Description: partial 16S ribosomal RNA
Rfam family: Bacterial small subunit ribosomal RNA
Source: RNAcentral